RNAcentral lists this ribosomal RNA (482 nucleotides) under uncultured bacterium. RNAcentral describes it as "partial 16S ribosomal RNA". It matches the Rfam family "Bacterial small subunit ribosomal RNA", at positions 30 to 507 of the family's 1533-position model. The record is from RNAcentral.
AUUGAACGCUGGCGGCAUGCCUUACACAUGCAAGUCGAACGGUAACAGGUCUUCGGAUGCUGACGAGUGGCGAACGGGUGAGUAAUACAUCGGAACGUGCCCGAUCGUGGGGGAUAACGGAGCGAAAGCUUUGCUAAUACCGCAUACGAUCUACGGAUGAAAGCAGGGGACCGCAAGGCCUUGCGCGGACGGAGCGGCCGAUGGCAGAUUAGGUAGUUGGUGGGAUAAAAGCUUACCAAGCCGACGAUCUGUAGCUGGUCUGAGAGGACGACCAGCCACACUGGGACUGAGACACGGCCCAGACUCCUACGGGAGGCAGCAGUGGGGAAUUUUGGACAAUGGGCGAAAGCCUGAUCCAGCCAUGCCGCGUGCAGGAUGAAGGCCUUCGGGCUGUAAACUGCUUUUGUACGGAACGAAAAGACUCUUUCUAAUAAAGAGGGUCCAUGACGGUACCGUAAGAAUAAGCACCGGCUAACUACGUG